CAAUAGCGUAUAUUAAAGUUGUUGCGGUUAAAAGCUCGUAGUUGGAUUUCUGCCUGAGGCAGCCGGUCCGCACUUAGUGCGUGUAUCUGGUUUGGUUUGGGCAUCCUCUUGGGGAUCGUUGCUGUGCUUAGUUGCAUGGUGCGGAAUUCAAGACGUUUACUUUGAGGAAUUAGAGUGGUUACGGCAAGCUAUCGCUUUGAAUACAUUAGCAUGGAAUAAUAAUAUAGGGCGUAAGUUCUAUCUUGUUGGUUUCUAGAACAUACGCAAUGAUUAAUAGGGACAAUUGGGGGCAUCCGUAUUUCGUUGUCAGAGGUGAAAUUCUUGGAUUUACGAAAGACGAACAACUGCGAAAGCACUUGCCAAGAGUGUUUUCAUUAAUCAAGAACGAAAGUUAGAGGAUCGAAGAUGAUUAGAUACCG
This 419-nucleotide ribosomal RNA is filed under the name uncultured eukaryote. RNAcentral describes it as "bacterial SSU rRNA". It matches the Rfam family "Eukaryotic small subunit ribosomal RNA", at positions 592 to 1017 of the family's 1831-position model. The record is from RNAcentral.